RNAcentral lists this ribosomal RNA (384 nucleotides) under Schizophyllum sp. BAB-4014. RNAcentral describes it as "eukaryotic LSU rRNA". The stretch from base 1 to 93 matches the Rfam family "5.8S ribosomal RNA", at positions 62 to 154 of the family's 154-position model. Lineage: Eukaryota; Fungi; Basidiomycota; Agaricomycetes; Agaricales; Schizophyllaceae. The record is from RNAcentral.
UUGGUGUGAAUUGCAGAAUUCAGUGAAUCAUCGAAUCUUUGAACGCACCUUGCGCCCUUUGGUAUUCCGAGGGGCAUGCCUGUUUGAGUGUCAUUAAAUACCAUCAACCCUCUUUUGACUUCGGUCUCGAGAGUGGCUUGGAAGUGGAGGUCUGCUGGAGCCUAACGGAGCCAGCUCCUCUUAAAUGUAUUAGCGGAUUUCCCUUGCGGGAUCGCGUCUCCGAUGUGAUAAUUUCUACGUCGUUGACCAUCUCGGGGCUGACCUAGUCAGUUUCAAUAGGAGUCUGCUUCUAACCGUCUCUUGACUGAGACUAGCGACUUGUGCGCUAACUUUUGACUUGACCUCAAAUCAGGUAGGACUACCCGCUGAACUUAAGCAUAUCAA